Molecule: long non-coding RNA, 540 nt
Organism: Mytilus californianus (California mussel)
Lineage: Eukaryota; Metazoa; Mollusca; Bivalvia; Mytilida; Mytilidae
Exons: 2
Source: RefSeq, a predicted model, not a curated record
UGCAAAAGGGAAAUAUCAUACUCCAUGUUUUUCAAAUUAUGUUGUAGAAAAAUAUUUGCAUUUCAUUUUAAUUUAUACUAAGGUGUUCGUCGUCGGUAAAAAGGCAAGGAGGAACGUGGUUACAUGGACCGGUCAAGUCGGUUACAUAUACAAAUCUCCUCGGGAGAAUGAUCUGCGAGUGACGAAAACGGAAAUUUUAUUCAUCAGUUUUACUCAUCCUGGAAGAGUGUACAUUGACCUUAUUUUGCUAGGCAGUAUCAGUUUUACUCAUCCUUGAAGAUUGUACAUUGGCAUUAUGUUGCUAUGCAGCAUCAGGUUUACUCAUCCUGGAAGAGUGUACAUUGACCUCAUUUUGCUAUGCAGUAUAGUUUUACUCAUCCUUGAAGAGUGUACAUUGACCUUAUGUUGCUACAUGUAACAUCUAUCUCAUUUGGUCUCUGGUUGAUAGUUAUCUCACUAGCAAUCAUACCACAUCUCUUAUUUUAUAUUAUAUACAAGACUACAAUAUCAUGAAUAUAAUUGAAUGUCGAUGUAAUUGAA